Termitomyces sp. J132 is the source of this 90-nucleotide transfer RNA. It matches the Rfam family "tRNA". Rfam says of the family: Transfer RNA (tRNA) molecules are approximately 80 nucleotides in length. Their secondary structure includes four short double-helical elements and three loops (D, anti-codon, and T loops). The record is from Rfam. NCBI's taxonomy places the organism in Eukaryota, Fungi, Basidiomycota, Agaricomycetes, Agaricales, Lyophyllaceae.
GGGCACUUGGCACAGUUGGUAGCGCGCACGCUUCGCAUUGGUAAAUAGUUUGAUUGCGUGAGGUCGUGGGUUCAAUUCCCACAGUGUCCA